Molecule: unclassified non-coding RNA, 166 nt
Filed under: uncultured Dictyosporium
Lineage: Eukaryota; Fungi; Ascomycota; Dothideomycetes; Pleosporales
Description: sequence contains ITS1
Source: RNAcentral
CACACUGUGCCGUGCCUGCAGUUGUUCGCACCUGUUGGUAUAGCCAGCUAACCCUUGUCUAUUUCUACCAUUUAUGAAUCCCUCGGCGGGGACGCUUGCCGCUGGGACCCUUAAACUCUACUGUGUAAAAAGCAUCAAAACUUUCUGAACCUUAUUAAAAUUAUUA